GCGCCUAAAACAAGCACUCACUUUGGCCCUACACAGUAUGUGGUGAGUAUCAGUAUGUGGUUUACCACAGUGUUCACACACCGGUCUCGGAGUAUUGCGAACACUGACCACACUAUCGGCAGGUUUAUUCAAGAACUUGGAAUCAUGUUCGCUCAGUUUAUUUAUGCUUGGAAACCCAAAUGACGCAGUGAUACGGUUAUCAUCUUCUUUUGCUUUUUUUAGUGGUGGUGCAGAAAAUGAUUAUAAAUUUCUUCCAUCUGACAUCCACUCCAUUUAAUUCUCAUGCAAAACCUUAUCAGACGAUUCCAGCUUCCAAAAACAACAGUUACAAAAAUCCUUACUUUAUGUCUAUUGUCCUUUUUCCUUCCAGCCCCCCUUCCAAGCAAAAACUCCUUCAAUCUAGUUCCAUCUGUCGUUUCCUCUCUGGCGCUCAUGGAUGAACUCAGGCAACCCUUCCUCAAGGUAAAAUUCCUCCCCCUUCUUUAAACCUUCAUUAGCUAUGGUAUGAGCACGGUUGUUCGUUGAUCUAGAAGUAUGUUUAAAAGAGAUUCUCCGAAAAUGGCCUUUAUGUUGUUGGAUAUCUCUGAUUAUGGCUCUAAUAGUUUAUUUAUCAAGAGAAUCUGACUUGCAUUUGUUUAUUAAUGUCUUCAAACCCCUUUCAAUCACCACUGAAUCAACCCCCAGCUGUAACCUCAACAUUACUGCCUGUAGGCAUGCACGGGCCUCUGCUACGAACAGAGUAGGAAUCCCCUAUGUAAAACUAUCUUCGAGGCCAGAAUCUUGCCUGAAACAUUUCUGGUCACAACACCUGCUCCAGAUCUAGUUUGAAUCAAAUUGAAAGCUUCAUCAAAGUUAACCUUCACCUCUGCGUCAAAUAGGGGACUCCACCUCGCAAAAACAUUAGAUCUGGAAUGUGAUUUCUCCUCUAUCGCAUAAAGUUCAUACAAAUAGCUUGUAGUCCAAUCUGCAAUAUCUUUACUAGAAAGCUUUUUCCCCUCAUGCACUAAUUGAUUCUUAUUAAACCAAAUACCCCAAAGACCACAAUAGAACACCAUGCACUACUCAUUAGUACUACUUAUGAAAAUCCAGGUAAUCCAAUCCCAGAAAUGCUGAAUUGAGUUUUGUAAAAUCCAAGAUAGAUUUCAAUUCACCCAUAUCUCUGUUGAUGUAGGGCAUACCUGCAAGAUAUGUUCGAUUGACUCCACUAAUCCAAGACACCUAGGACACAAGCAAUUUGUGGCUACCCUUUUGUAGUUUAGAUUGAGUAACGUAGGAAAGAAAUCCCAUGAAGCUCCCCAAAUUGUAAUUUUAAUUUUUGGAAGGAGCUGUAGAUUCCAUACUUUUUUUUAUAGUAUUCUUUAAGGUUCUAUUGUGUAUAAUUUUCAUUAGGGGGUAGUAUACCUUAUUGUAAUAUUUUGUAGGCACUUAUUAUGGAGAAUUCACCUGAUGGCUCACCCCUCCAAACCUGUAUAUCAUCGAAAAACUUCCUUAGCCAAUGGGUUCAUCAGUAUUCCCUUCGCGACAUCCUUUGGAAAGGUAUCAAAAGUUAUAUCUUUCCUCCAUUUCCCUGAUUGUGCACCAAUUAAAUCCGAAACAAAGGUAACCUCAGAAUUACUAACGUUGUUUAAUAAACCCAAACUGAUAGACCCUGAUAGCUAAAGGUCUUCCCUUAUUGAAAUCUUCUCACCAGAACCAACCCUCCAACACAGUCC
This 1712-nucleotide long non-coding RNA is filed under the name Gossypium barbadense (sea-island cotton). RNAcentral's name for it is "long non-coding RNA (GBAR_LNC018361)". Lineage: Eukaryota; Viridiplantae; Streptophyta; Magnoliopsida; Malvales; Malvaceae. The record is from RNAcentral.